This 825-nucleotide long non-coding RNA is filed under the name Pan troglodytes (chimpanzee). RNAcentral's name for it is "lincRNA". The record is from RNAcentral. Lineage: Eukaryota; Metazoa; Chordata; Mammalia; Primates; Hominidae.
UUCCGCGGAGCCGGGCAGAGGUUUUAGGGGUGCGCGGGAGUCAAGUGGUGGUUCAGUGGGGACGGAAUGAUUAACAAAGGCGUCCGAAGAAAUCGUUGUUGGAAGGUGGCCAAAGUGGAAAGAGAGGUUGCUUUGGCCCUGCAAGUAAGAAGAGAGAAGGAAUAGCCUGAAGGAGUAACACUAAAUUUAAAAUGACACUUUUUUACCAACCAGCGAAAGCAGAUGUUCAAAGGGGAUAUUGGCCAGGUGCGGUCGCUCACGCCUUUAAUCCCAGCACUUUGGGGGCAGACGCGGGGAGAUAGCGUGAUUCUAGGAGUCCAACCCCGGCCUGGGCAACAUGCGGAGACCCCGUACCGUCUCUACAAAAACAUUAAACAAAAAAAUUAGCUGGGCAUGGUGGUGUACCCCUGUAGUUGCAGCUACACUAGAGGCUGAGGUGGGAGGAUCUCUGAGCCCGGGAUGUUGAGGCUGCAGUGAGCCUCGAUCCUACCACUGUGCUCCAGCCUGGGCGACAGCAAGCCCGUGUCUCAGAAAAGGCGGGAGGGGUGGGAUAUUAUUGAUGAUAGGCCUUCUGACGUCUGGCAAUAGAUUACAGAGUAACAUCGGUCAUGGAUAAAUUUUUUUUUUAACUAAGUGACUGAAACCAAAGUUAAUUGUCUUUUGAGUGAUUUUGCACAGUAUCUCAAAAUGAACUGUACUUUUUUUCUUGUGUCACUGAAACACUGCUGUGUGUUCUUUUUCAGAGUCUGUCACACUAAGAUGAGAAAUAUCCUUUCUUCCUGAAGGUGUCUGAUGUGUAAAAAUACUGAUAUACUUUGUGCUGUU